Molecule: ribosomal RNA, 381 nt
Filed under: Lensia subtiloides
Lineage: Eukaryota; Metazoa; Cnidaria; Hydrozoa; Siphonophorae; Diphyidae
Description: partial 16S ribosomal RNA
Rfam family: Bacterial large subunit ribosomal RNA
Source: RNAcentral
CUUAAUCCUAAAGGGCGUGAAAUAAGCAUAAUCGGAUACCGUUUAAUUGACGGGGAGUUGAAUGGAUUUACGAGUGACAAUCUGUCUUUUUCUAAGAAUAAAUGAAUUAGAAGUAUAAGUGAAGAUGCUUAUUAAAACAAAAAGACGAAAAGACCCCGUGAAGCUUAACUAUAAGUCAACUAGAGAAAAAAAAUUUCUUCUUAGUUGAAAGGGUAGUUUUGGUGGGGUGCCAGCACGUUAAAAAGAACAUGAAGUUAAUUUAGUAAGACUAAUAACUAGUGUAAUAAACAAAUUUACGCAGAGGAGAAAACCGAUAAAGUGACCCGACUAAGGUUUAAGAUUAAGUCGACAAAGAAUAAUAGCUACUCCGGGGAUAACAGG